GUAAUACGGUAGCACUUCUUGGUAUGACCUGAAAAUGAGACAAAAACUUAUUAAAUAAUAAGUAUUAGAUACUAUCCCCUUCGCGCUUCGGUUGAUCGAGGGGAAGCCUGUACGUCAAUAGAUACAAUUAUUAUCUGUAAGUUUCUAAUUUGUAUUUAUCUUAAUAGACCGUCAAUAGUUCACAAAUUAUGUGAUAAACAUUUUUUAAUUACACUUCUAUCAAACUUCUUGUUAAAGUGUAUUUAUAGAUCAAAAUGUUAUUUAGAUUUACUAAACUAAAUUUAAAUCUUGGGCAUACUCCCGUCCAAGACAUGAAAUUC
Long non-coding RNA from Pectinophora gossypiella (pink bollworm), 320 nucleotides. RefSeq lists it as uncharacterized. Lineage: Eukaryota; Metazoa; Arthropoda; Insecta; Lepidoptera; Gelechiidae. The record is from RefSeq and is a predicted model, not a curated record. The transcript is spliced from 2 exons.